GACAGCUUGGCCGAGUGGUUAAGGCGACAGAUUACUACCCUGUUGGGCAGUUCGAAUCUCACAGCCGUCG
Non-coding RNA from Aphanomyces cochlioides, 70 nucleotides. Lineage: Eukaryota; Oomycota; Saprolegniomycetes; Saprolegniales; Verrucalvaceae. The record is from the annotation of a GenBank genome assembly.